CAGACUGACUCAAAAACACCUAUGUAAAAGGAGGGGUAGGGAGACUGAACCAAGGAGACAGGAGAUGAAGAUUCCUCCAUGAACCAUUACAUGGGCCACAGAGAUGGGUCCAUGACAAAAUUUGUGUCAACACUUGUCAAUCCUAGGGGUUUUCUUUUGAGUUCUCAGGGGAGUAGACUCCCUGUGUAUCACUGACCAUGAAGCUGAACACAUGCAGUCCCAGGAGCUGCUGGCAGCCACGUGCCCACCAACAAUCAAGAGCUAAGAAUUGGGCAACAUCAUGGAAGGAAGACUGUGGGGAAAAAGAAACUGAGUCCCUGCUGAGGCUUGUUGCUUACCUGAGGCCAACCAUGCCCUUGAACUCUUCUCUUUUGUGAAGAGAUACAUUCUCUUUACUUUUAAAAAUUCAUUUUAUUGAAUCUUCUCUUCCUUGCAACCUGUAAAUAUAUUCAU
RNAcentral lists this long non-coding RNA (453 nucleotides) under Homo sapiens (human). RNAcentral's name for it is "HSALNT0225066". The record is from RNAcentral. Lineage: Eukaryota; Metazoa; Chordata; Mammalia; Primates; Hominidae.